Molecule: long non-coding RNA, 1454 nt
Organism: Symphalangus syndactylus (siamang)
Lineage: Eukaryota; Metazoa; Chordata; Mammalia; Primates; Hylobatidae
Source: RefSeq, a predicted model, not a curated record
GUGCAGUGGCGCGAUCUCGGCUCACUGCAGGCUCCGCCCCCCGGGGUUCACGCCAUUCUCCUGCCUCAGCCUCCCGUGUAGCUGGGACUACAGGCGCCUGCCACCUCGCCCGGCUAAUUUUUUGUAUUUUUAGUAGAAACGGGGUUUCACCGUGUUAGCCAGGAUGGUCUCGAUCUCCUGACCUUGUGAUCCGCCCGCCUCGGCCUCCCAAAGUGCUGGGAUUCAAACAGUGGUUUUAAAAUAAACAACCAAAGUUAUCCAAUGAAAAGUAGCAGAGGAAGGAUGCUACAGGAGCUCAGAAAAGGCAACGAAGGCCAGAGUCUGCAGGGAUUUCCUGGAGGACGUGGAGCUUGUCCCUGCGUCUUUAACAAUAGGCAGAAUUUUAAUCCACUGGAGAAGCAUUUCAAGUAGCGGGAAAUGGAAUGAGCAGAGACAGAGGCAGAAAUACAGAGUUGAAAGAACUCUUUCAACGUGUCGCGAGUGAGUGACGACUUUCUGAGUGUGGGAGUAAAAGAAUUUACCAAGACAGUGGUAGGUAAAGAAAGACAGAUUAAAGAAAAUAUGAAAGUUCGUUGCCAGGGAGCAGCCGGCCGAAUCAGCAGAGGAGCUCAUUGCUAGGAAACAAAGGCUUGUUGAGAAUUUUAUAGACUGGAACGUGGAGUGAUUGAUAACACCAAAGCAGCAGGGAGUUAACUUGCUUUUUUUUUUUUUUCGCUUUUUUUUUUUCCAGCUGAAGUGUUUGAGAAAUUGAGGCUUUGAAGUGUGCACAAAAGGACAGAAAAUAUAAAGUCACGCCUGGCAGAGAGCUUCUACUCUGAAGAAACAACAACCGACGUGUCAUAGGAUGAAUCUACACUAUUUGGAGAGAGAGUAUACAUUUAACUUGCAGCAAUCCCUGGAAGAAAAAUUCUACUAGCAGAGAUGCUCUGAGCAGAGAGAAAGCCUGUCUAUAUAGUGAGAGAAUGAAACCAAUACAUUGAAAAAAACUGAGAAGAGAAAGAGGUAAAGACUUCACCUGAUACAAGCACGCCUGAAACAAGAGACACCUGUAUGAUUCCAUCUUCCCAGGAGCUAGCAGGCAGUUCUUGCUGAAUUCAAGCCAGUUGAGACCAUCAACCCUUCAACUGAGCCUGCAUGGGUGCAUAAAGCAUGACCUUUUGAUGUCAAAGGGCCAAAACCUGCACCCUCCUUUCAUGCUAAUUCAACUAUUUUCUGAAUAUGCAUCCUAUGAAGAGCCGUGUAGCUCAAUUAUGCUUGUGCAGAAACCCUGAUUACCUCACCUUUCCCACCUGCCAAUCACCUUUACCCAUACUUCACACCAUCCUGCUUUCUAUCCCCAUAAUUACCCCUAAGCUUUGUUUUCAGGGAGGUGGAUUUGCAAUUUUUUCUCCUUCUCCUUGCUCAGCAGCCUGGUGAGCAAUCUCACAAAAUAAAAUAUUUUCUCUUUUGCAAAA